RNAcentral lists this ribosomal RNA (493 nucleotides) under uncultured bacterium. RNAcentral describes it as "bacterial SSU rRNA". It matches the Rfam family "Bacterial small subunit ribosomal RNA", at positions 19 to 518 of the family's 1533-position model. The record is from RNAcentral.
AUGGCUCAGGAUAAACGCUGGCGGCGUGCCUAAUACAUGCAAGUCGAUCGCUGGAAUUCCAGCUUGGCUGGAAUGAAGGAGAGGCGAACGGGUGAGGUAAUACAUAAGCAACCUGCCCACGAAGACUGGGAUAAUUCCUGGAAACGGGGACUAAUACCGGAUAGGUAGUGUGAUCGCAUGAUCGCACUAUUAAAGGUUCAAGACACUGGUGGAUGGGCUUAUGGCGCAUUUAGCUGGUUGGUGAGGUAACGGCCCACCAAGGCGAUGAUGCGUAGCCGGCCUGAGUGGGUGAUCGGCCACAUUGGAACUGAGAUACGGUCCAGACUCCUACGGGAGGCAGCAGCGGGGAAUAUUGGGCAAUGGGCGAAAAAAGCCUGACCCAGCAACGCCGCGUGAGGGAAGAAGGUCUUCGGGUUGUAAACCUCUGUCCUUGGUGAAAAGGAAGGAUGGUAGCCAAGGAGGAAGCUCCGGCUAACUACGUGCCAGCAGCUGC